This 72-nucleotide transfer RNA is filed under the name Ailuropoda melanoleuca (giant panda). It matches the Rfam family "tRNA". From Rfam's summary of the family: Transfer RNA (tRNA) molecules are approximately 80 nucleotides in length. Their secondary structure includes four short double-helical elements and three loops (D, anti-codon, and T loops). Lineage: Eukaryota; Metazoa; Chordata; Mammalia; Carnivora; Ursidae. The record is from Rfam by way of RNAcentral.
ACCCGGCUGGCUCAGUUGAAGAGCAUGAGAUUCUUGAUCUUGGGUUUGUGAGUUCGAGCCCCACGUUGGGUG